CAUGUGGUGGGAGGAGCUCGCUGAGAGGAAAAGGAAGUCAUGUCACAGGAAAUGCUGAGAGAGCAGUAGUAGCAGUUAUGGCAGAUAGAGCUGAGAGAAGGAGCAGACAUGUGCCGUGCUGUCAGUUUGCUUGUUGGUGACAAGGCCCCAGAAGCAGAUGUCACCUUUGGACCUGUCCAUAACUGUGAUGUGUCAUCCCUGGACCUGACAACUGUGAUGUGUCAUCCCUGGACCUGGCAUUGACUGAGUCCCGGAUGCCAGCUAAAGAACGGACUUCUGAAAUAGGACUCUCUACCUCUUGGAGCAGGGACAGCUCCACAUCCAAUUUUAGCAGGAAGAAGCUAUGGAUGACAAGACCUUUGCCUCUUACCCCAAGAUUUUGAGCCCCAUUCAUUCAAGAUGGAAAUGGAAAAUAAUGAGAUGGAAGACAAUCAGACUCCUAGCACAUUGGGCAAACAUGUUCUUCAUGUAGCAGGUUGGGAAAAAGUAGAAGACGUCUCCCAAAUAUCAAGAUAUUUUCAGAUCUGGCCAACUUCUCCCAUAUGUCCUUCAUCAGUCAGCCUUUAAACUCAUUCUCUUCACUUGUUCGCCCAAGUUUUGAGGACUCUAGGGGACUAUUUAGAUAAUUUAUGUCUCUUUAGGAAACUGACAAUAGCUUUUUCGUGAAUUAGCUCAAACUCCAAACCAAGUUAAUAAAAUAUUACUUUUUUAAUCAAUAAAGAAACCCUCCUUUCUCCAUCAGUUACUCUUAUUUCUAGGUGAUUAAAUAUUAUAAUUAAGGAAUAUGUGCUAUUGACAGAUGAAAACAAUCAUAAAGCAAAGGCAUAAGAUGUUUUGGCCAUGAGACAUCCUACUCAGAGCCACUUCAAGCCCUCAG
Trichosurus vulpecula (common brushtail) is the source of this 877-nucleotide long non-coding RNA. RefSeq lists it as uncharacterized. NCBI's taxonomy places the organism in Eukaryota, Metazoa, Chordata, Mammalia, Diprotodontia, Phalangeridae. The transcript is spliced from 3 exons. The record is from RefSeq and is a predicted model, not a curated record.